RNAcentral lists this ribosomal RNA (506 nucleotides) under uncultured bacterium. RNAcentral's name for it is "partial 16S ribosomal RNA". It matches the Rfam family "Bacterial small subunit ribosomal RNA", at positions 28 to 523 of the family's 1533-position model. The record is from RNAcentral.
GAUGAACGCUAGCUACAGGCUUAACACAUGCAAGUCGAGGGGUAACGAGAGGAAAGCUUGCUUUCCUUGUCGACGACCGGCGCACGGGUGAGUAACGCGUAUCCAACCUGCCCCCAACUAGGGAAUAACCUUGCGAAAGUAAGACUAAUACCCUAUAAUUUCCUCAGAUGUCAUCUGACGAGGAAUAAAGAUUUAUCGGUUGUGGAUGGGGAUGCGUCUGAUUAGAUGGUUGGCGGGGUAACGGCCCACCAAGGCAACGAUCAGUAGGGGUUCUGAGGGGGAGGUCCCCCACAUUGGAACUGAGACACGGUCCAAACUCCUACGGGGGGCAGCAGUGAGGAAUAUUGGUCAAUGGGCGGAAGCCUGAACCAGCCAAGUAGCGUGCAGGAUGACGGCCCUAUGGGUUGUAAACUGCUUUUAUACAGGAAUAAAGUUAGCCACGUGUGGUUAUUUGUAGGUACUGUAUGAAUAAGGACCGGCUAAUUCCGUGCCAGCAGCCGCCGUAA